RNAcentral lists this long non-coding RNA (1876 nucleotides) under Sorghum bicolor (sorghum). Its description in RNAcentral is "long non-coding RNA (SBIC_LNC003473)". Lineage: Eukaryota; Viridiplantae; Streptophyta; Magnoliopsida; Poales; Poaceae. The record is from RNAcentral.
UAGUGUUUGAUUAAUGGUCAGGAGCUGCAUCAUCUGUCUUGAUGGAGCAGCAAUGACAGCACACUGGAGGCACACAGAACCGGAAAAGCAGAUUUUAUUGACUUCAAAUAAAAUAGGUGGAUGUAAACAAGGUAACACUUUCCUUCUAAACAGAUGUCAAUUUUGUAGGGCUCAAUCUCAAAGCAGAGGCACCAGCGAUGGGCAAAUGUGGCUGCCGCCCCUACACAUACAAAUGGGAUUUGGUUUGGUUAACUUGUGUAAAAAGCAACAAUAAGUAAUAUAAAAGUAGAGAUGGUAAGGUCGAAGACAUGGUUGUAAGAACCAAGAACCAGUGGCGAAGCUAGAGCUAAUGGCUGGGGGGUGCACAAUAGAAGCAAAGCGGUAGGAGCAAGGCAAAAACACUCACCAUUUAGACCAAAAUGAAGAGAAAAUUGAUCACUGUAAUGUAGGUUUCACUGUUGUAAGAAUGCCAAUAGUCCAAAACGAUCAACAAAUGAUGUCCCAUAUAUCAAAAUAUUUGAUCCAACCUAAAGAAAAGAGAACAAACAGGUCAAUUAUUUAGCAAAAAAAUGUACAAUUGUUCACUGAAAAUAGAUUCAUUGCAUUUGCAUUACCUCUCUGAAUUCUUAGAGAUCAUAUUUACGCCCUUUUCCUUCCAUGGUCAUGAAACGACGAAUCACAGCCUCAUUGCUAAUUUUCUUCAUUUCCUCUUUCUCUAUAUAGCAAAUAAGUCUGUGACUCAAGUGUUGAUCACCCAGACGAUUAGACAAACUUGUUUUUACAAUCUUCAUGCCCGAAAAACAUCUCUCAACUGUUGCCGUAGCAACAGGCAAUACUAGCACAAGCUUCAAAAGUCGAUAGACCAAUUUAUACAAACGAUAUUUCUCUGUCUGUACCAUUUUUUGAGAGAGCUCACCAAUAGUGUUUAUGUUGGAGAAUCUAUGGUCUUCUCUCACAUCAGCAAUGUAAAGGCGAAGUUGGUGGCUAAGGUCUCUCAUCUCAUCAUUGUUAAAAUCAUCAGGAUAUAGUUUGGCUAAGCUCAUCAAAGCCUCUCCAUUGAAAGCAUGAAAUGAGUCUCUUGGACUGAAAGCAGCUGAACAAACAAGCAAUUGAGAGGUUGUUUCACUGAAGCGGCUAUCAAGCUCUUGAAUUAACCAAUCAAUAAUAUCAUUAAAGCAAUCCACUGCAUAGUGAUGUUUGUUUGUAAUUCCUGAUUUCUUCCUAGGUUGUCGGGGAUCAACAUAUGCAUUUUCCAUUUCCACUCUAUUAAUUUCAUGGAAGUCACAAAACUGAUUCACUUCUUCUAAUAAUUUUUCCCAGCCAUCUCUUCUAAGAUCAUCUAAAUGGAGUCUAGUUGAUUUCAAACAUCCAAUGGCAUUUACAAUGUCUUGAUCCUUGCGUUGCAAUGCUAAUGACAAUGAAUUUGUGGCACUUAAUGUAGUCAACAUGAGAUGCAAAUAAAACACAAAGUCAAAAGACUGGAAGUAUACCAGAAGAUUUGAUGCUUGAUCUCUAUUUUUCCAAUCUCUGUCGUCCUUUUCAACAACCUUUAGCACUUGAACUAUUGUAGGAAACAUGCUGACCAAACUUUUCAGAGUUUUAUAAUGAGAACUCCAUCGAGUGUCUCCGGGUCUUUGAAGACAUUGCUCUUGAUUUAACCCUGUCCCGGUCUCAAGUUGCCCACAGCCUAAUGCAUGCUUCACUUGUUCAUAAUUGAUAUCCCUAAUCAUGUCCCUUCUCUUAGCUGACCCACCCACCACAUUUAGUAAGAUAGAAAUCAUGUUUAAAAAAUUGCUUACACCCUUAUGCUUACACCACAAUAAGUAAUAUAAAAGUAGAGAUGGUAAGGUCGAAGACAUGGUUGUAAGAACCAAGA